CUCGGAUCAGGUAGGGAUACCCGCUGAACUUAAGCAUAUCAAUAAGCGGAGGAGAUCAUUAC
RNAcentral lists this ribosomal RNA (62 nucleotides) under Aspergillus flavus. Its description in RNAcentral is "partial 28S ribosomal RNA". The record is from RNAcentral. Lineage: Eukaryota; Fungi; Ascomycota; Eurotiomycetes; Eurotiales; Aspergillaceae.